GACGAACGCUGGCGGCGUGCUUAACACAUGCAAGUCGAACGGAAAGGCCCUGCUUUUGUGGGGUGCUCGAGUGGCGAACGGGUGAGUAACACGUGAGUAACCUGCCCUUGACUUUGGGAUAACUUCAGGAAACUGGGGCUAAUACCGGAUAGGAGCUCCUGCUGCAUGGUGGGGGUUGGAAAGUUUCGGCGGUUGGGGAUGGACUCGCGGCUUAUCAGCUUGUUGGUGGGGUAGUGGCUUACCAAGGCUUUGACGGGUAGCCGGCCUGAGAGGGUGACCGGCCACAUUGGGACUGGGAUACGGCCCAGACUCCUACGGGAGGCAGCGGUGGGGAAUAUUGCACAAUGGGCGGAGGCCUGAUGCAGCAACGCCGCGUGCGGGAUGACGGCCUUCGGGUUGUAAACCGCUUCCGCCUGUGACGAAGCGUGAGUGACGGUAAUGGGUAAAGAAGCACCGGCUAACUACGUG
Molecule: ribosomal RNA, 468 nt
Filed under: uncultured bacterium
Lineage: Bacteria
Description: partial 16S ribosomal RNA
Rfam family: Bacterial small subunit ribosomal RNA
Source: RNAcentral